UUUAUCCAAUGACGUCUACAAAAGCGAAAACAACGUUUAAGUGGAAAUCAUUCUUCACGGAGAAACAUCGUCCAGUAUUCAUUACUACUCAUUAUACCAGCUCACGUAGUUCGUCAUCCCUACUUUCAAUUGAUUCGAGUCAACCAACCGUACCCGUCGCUGAAUGUAAAUGACGCGACGCGUCAUGAGAACGAGUAAACGCGCCUCCGUCGGCGUCCUCAUUGCAAAACAUUUCCAACGUCUAUUAUCAUUUGUAAAUAACUCCGGCAUAUAAACAUUUCUAAGAAACACUGUAACAUUUAUGUAAAACCCCGAGAAAGACGAGUAAAGGCCAAAAGUCUUCGUCUCGACAUCCUGCGUCUCUGGAAAGACUGUAACAACUUCGGAUGUUUAAACUAUUAAAAGUGAAAAAGUGUUAAACA
Long non-coding RNA from Orussus abietinus, 422 nucleotides. RefSeq lists it as uncharacterized. The record is from RefSeq and is a predicted model, not a curated record. The transcript has 2 exons. NCBI's taxonomy places the organism in Eukaryota, Metazoa, Arthropoda, Insecta, Hymenoptera, Orussidae.